RNAcentral lists this ribosomal RNA (248 nucleotides) under uncultured bacterium. RNAcentral describes it as "partial 16S ribosomal RNA". It matches the Rfam family "Bacterial small subunit ribosomal RNA", at positions 333 to 578 of the family's 1533-position model. The record is from RNAcentral.
UGUGGCCUACGGGAGGCAGCAGUGAGGAAUAUUGGUCAAUGGCCGAGAGGCUGAACCAGCCAAGUCGCGUGAGGGAUGACGGCCCUACGGGUUGUAAACCUCUUUUGUCGGGGAGCAAAGAGAGUCACGUGUGACUCAUUGACAGUACCUCAGGAGGAAGCUCCGGCUAACUAUGUGCCAGCAGCCGCGGUAAUACAUAGGGAGCAAGGGUUAUCCGGAUUUAUUGGGUGUAAAGGGUACGUAGACGG